GACGAACGCUGGCGGCGUGCUUAACACAUGCAAGUCGAACGGUGAAGCGCCUUCCUUUUUGGUGGGUGUGGAUGAGUGGCGAACGGGUGAGUAACACGUGAGUAACCUGCCCCCUUCUUCUGGAUAACCGCAUGAAAGUGUGGCUAAUACGGGAUAUUCUGGGUCUGUCGCAUGAUGGGUCUGGGAAAGAUAUUGUUUCGGUGGGGGAUGGGCUCGCGGCCUAUCAGCUUGUUGGUGGGGUGAUGGCCUACCAAGGCGGUGACGGGUAGCCGGCCUGAGAGGGUGGACGGUCACACUGGGACUGAGACACGGCCCAGACUCCUACGGGAGGCAGCAGUGGGGAAGAUUGCACAAUGGGCGCAAGCCUGAUGCAGCGACGCCGCGUGAGGGAUGGAGGCCUUCGGGUUGUGAACCUCUUUCGCCAGUGAAGCAGGCCUGCCUCGUUUGUGGGUGGGUUGACGGUAGCUGGAUAAGAAGCGCCGGCUAACUACGUG
This 494-nucleotide ribosomal RNA is filed under the name uncultured bacterium. RNAcentral describes it as "partial 16S ribosomal RNA". It matches the Rfam family "Bacterial small subunit ribosomal RNA", at positions 28 to 507 of the family's 1533-position model. The record is from RNAcentral.